This 31-nucleotide non-coding RNA is filed under the name Mus musculus (house mouse). Lineage: Eukaryota; Metazoa; Chordata; Mammalia; Rodentia; Muridae. The record is from RNAcentral.
UGUGUCUCAUGGAACUCAGAUCUUUAAAUCC